GAAAUGUUCGAUGCUUCAAGACCCUGAAGCUGAUUUUAUUAGGUCUACCCAGUGGCUUUUGACCAUUUGAGGGUCAGAUGGUUGUGAAUUCAUACCUCAACAUUGUGCGUCCCGGGAGCAGGCAUCUUUUGCACACAUUAAUUUUUUCAAAGAUGUUUUCUUGGAAUCACAACACUCCCUGGAUACAAGACGGACA
Molecule: long non-coding RNA, 196 nt
Organism: Carassius auratus (goldfish)
Lineage: Eukaryota; Metazoa; Chordata; Actinopteri; Cypriniformes; Cyprinidae
Exons: 3
Source: RefSeq, a predicted model, not a curated record